Arachis ipaensis is the source of this 938-nucleotide non-coding RNA. Lineage: Eukaryota; Viridiplantae; Streptophyta; Magnoliopsida; Fabales; Fabaceae. The record is from RefSeq and is a predicted model, not a curated record.
UCUUCACAACGGAGAAAACCACUUCCAAGUUCCAAGUUCUAAGUUCCAAGUUCCAUGGCAUUCGCAUCUCCUUCCUCUACACUUCAUCUUCUUCCUCAAUUUCAAUGGCAAUCUGAAUCAUUCUCCAGAUUUGGAUUCUCCUCUCAAUUUUGUCGUCUUCUCGCCGGUUCCAUCGUUGCUCAUCCCAUGACUUGGUCGAACUAAAUUAUGUUCGCCACAUGGUCACGGAUGUGUCCUGUCCUACUAAGAACCUUGAUCUCAGACUAAUGCUAUGCACCAAAAGGAUUAUAGCAGCUCCAAAAAUUUUACACAGAUUCUGUUUUUGAAUUACCAAGUCUAGAGAGAACUGAACUGACGAAGAACACGACAAGUUUCUAGAAGCUCUUCAGCUGUUUUCACAUCAUUGUCUAUUACAGAACCUCAAAUUGAUCAAUCCCCAAGGUCCCCACACCAUUUGCGGACCUGAAGGAAAUUAAAGACGGCUUUGAUGUUGAGCUUGUUUUCUCCGAGGCGGCUCUCAUGGGUUUCCAGUAAUGAAGGUAGAGCUAACUGUUGCAGAAGUAGAGUCACUUUGAUAUGAACUUACUGAUAUAGAGGAGAGGGAAGCUCAUUUGAAAGCUUCGAAUAUGGUCAUCGUGUUAGGGUGGCAACUCAUUCUAAUUUCAGCACAUUUGUGAAGUCAGCUGGUGUAAAUUUCUACCUGUUGGGUGGCGAUCCACGUGUAUUGGCAGGAUGUACGAGUUUCUAGCUCAAGCAGAUAAAUACAUUUUUCUAGGAUUAGUAUAAGGACUAAGUUUUUUUAUGUACUGUGUAUCACUUUUUCUUUUUUUUUUUUAUAUAGAAUGUUCAUAGAGUUUAAGUGCUAUAAAUAUUUUUUUCUUUUUUCAUUUUAUUUGCAUCACGAAGCAAAUUUGUACCAUGAUUAUUGAUUAAUGAAA